Molecule: ribosomal RNA, 522 nt
Filed under: uncultured eukaryote
Lineage: Eukaryota
Description: SSU rRNA
Rfam family: Eukaryotic small subunit ribosomal RNA
Source: RNAcentral
CUGGUUGAUCCUGCCAGUAGUCAUAUGCUUGUCUCAAAGAUUAAGCCAUGCAUGUCUAAGUAUAAGCGACUUGUACUGUGAAGCUGCGAAUGGCUCAUUAAAUCAGUUAUGGUUUCUUUGAUGGGUACCUUGCUACUUGGAUACCCGUAGUAAUUCUAGAGCUAAUACAUGCAGGAAUGCCCGACUUCGGAAGGGCUGUAUUUAUUAGAUAAGAAACCUUCUCGGGUUCGCCCGGUUGUGUGCUGAGUCAUAAUAACUGCUCGAAUCGCACGGCUCUACGCCGGCGAAUGGUUCAUUCAAAUUUCUGCCCUAUACGCUUUCGAUGGUAGGAUAGAGGCCUACCAUGGCGUUAACGGGUAACGGAGAAUUAGGGUUCGAUUCCGGAGAGGGAGCCUGAGAGAUGGCUACCACAUCCUAGGAAGGCAGCAGGCGCCGUAAAUUGCCCGAAUCCUGCACAGGGAGGUAGUGACAAGAAAUAACAAUACAUGGCUACUUCUAGUCUUGGAAUUGGAAUGAGUACAA